This is a long non-coding RNA of Astatotilapia calliptera (eastern happy), 395 nucleotides long. The record is from Ensembl. Lineage: Eukaryota; Metazoa; Chordata; Actinopteri; Cichliformes; Cichlidae.
UGUCGGAGGAGUAACGUAUUAACGUGCAUUCGGUGUGAGUUAAUACUGCGUGCGUGCUUACCAUAGGUCUGGUUUGCCAAUAUGACCACACACACACAUACCCAUAUACACACUCACACCCCCGUUACCUGCAUGUGAAUACUGUAAUGCCUCCCUACCAACGCUGUACAUCCUGUUGAUGUCAUCUGCCACCUCUUUAGUAAAGUUAUUUGAACUACAUCACUGUGGAGUACCAUUCCUUCUGACCGAGGACGACUCAGUUGAAGCGUGAUCGGCAAUCAGUGCAAACAUACAUUACACAUUUAUAGCAUUUGAAAGAUGAGCUGUUAAACCCCCCCCCCCCAAAAUGUUUCUUUGAGGUUACAGGCUACUUUUUCUUUUUUUUCCUUUUUAAC